AAUCCAGUGUCCUGCAACCCCGCGACGGAUAGCUCAUGUCUGUUCGUCUCCACAAAGUCCGAUGGCAACGGCAACCUGAAUUUUUGAACUCCGAGGAGAGUCCAGCGGCUACAUCGCCGUAGCUCUAUCAACUGACGACAGUGCGGGAGGCAACGACAAAACCUACAUUUGCGCUAACAACAACUCUGCUGUCCUGUUUGUCUUUGCCCUGCUGAACAACAGUGCACUAACCACUCAAAGUGACGUAUCAAGCAUUGCUAAUGUCAGUGCUUCAAUCAAUCAAACCACCAUCCAGUGUGUGUUUGAUGUGAUUGGCCUGAACGCAACAUCCCGUGCCAAUGCUGCAACCACCUUUUCAAUUGUACUGGCCAAUGGGACUGUUUAUGCUAAUGGUUCACUUUCAAACCCGACUGUGCGAACAGUCACUGCACAGCUAGACCUGUCCAACAUCACUAGCACCAACACAGCAACAACAACUGUUCCUCCUAGCACCAACUCAACAGACGCCUCCAAUGUCACCACCACCACUGCCACCACCACAACAACCUCAGGGGCCAACAUUUCUCUGCAGCACGGUCUUUCACAAGCUGUAUUGAUCCUCCUCGGUGUCCUGGCCAUCAGGAUGAUGUGAGUCCUCCCUGGUGAAGCCCCACCCCACCUGAGCUGUGUUGAGACAAUGCACUGACUUCUCCCACUGCCAAAGACUACUAGCCACAGGAUCCUCACUUUAUCAUCGCCAUUUCACUCUAGCCAUGCUAUUUAAUGAGGUGUGUGUGUGUGUGUGUGUGUGUGUGUAUUUAUGAGAUGAUGGACAUAACCUUGAGGUGACAUUAUACCUGCAUUCACUUACUGUACUUAGACUAAGCAGACUGCGUGUGUGAGAGAAAAAAAGAGAGACUGUGUGUGUCUAGAAACGAAGCAUGAAGCCAUUGAUUGGUGGACAAUGACAUAAAUGUAA
Molecule: long non-coding RNA, 958 nt
Organism: Alosa alosa (allis shad)
Lineage: Eukaryota; Metazoa; Chordata; Actinopteri; Clupeiformes; Clupeidae
Exons: 5
Source: RefSeq, a predicted model, not a curated record